AGUCGACGGCAGCAUGGCAUAAUUUCGGUUAUGUUGAUGGCGAGUGGCGAACGGGUGAGUAACGCGUAGGAAUAUACCUUAAAGAGUGGGAUAACUUGGGGAAACUCAAGCUAAUACCGCAUGUACUCUGAGGAGGAAAGCUGGGGACCUUCGGGCCUGGCGCUUUAAGAUUAGCCUGCGUCCGAUUAGCUAGUUGGUGGGGUAAAGGCCUACCAAGGCGACGAUCGGUAGCUGGUCUGAGAGGAUGAUCAGCCACACUGGGACUGAGACACGGCCCAGACUCCUACGGGAGGCAGCAGUGGGGAAUAUUGGACAAUGGGGGGAACCCUGAUCCAGCAAUGCCGCGUGUGUGAAGAAGGCCUGAGGGUUGUAAAGCACUUUUGUAGAGGAGGAGGGUAGACCAUGUUAAGAGCUAGGUUUACUGACGUUACUCUAAGAAUAAGCACCGGCUAACUCCGUGCCAGCAGCCGCGGUAAUACGGAGGGUGCAGGCGUUAAUCGGAAUUACUGGGCGUAAAGGGUGCGUAGGCGGUUACGUAAGUUAUCUGUGAAAUCCCUGGGCUUAACCUGAGUAGGAAAGAUAAUACUGCGUGACUAGAGUGUGGUAGAGGAUAGUGGAAUUUCCGGUGUACCGGUGAAAUGCGUAGAGAUCGGAAGGAACACCAGUGGCGAAUGCGGCUAUCUGGACCAACACUGACGCUGAGGCACGAAAGCGUGAGGAGCAGACAGGAUUAGAUACCCUGGUAGUCCACGCCGUAAACGAUGUCAACUUACUGUUGGUCACAUUAAAG
Molecule: ribosomal RNA, 790 nt
Filed under: uncultured bacterium
Lineage: Bacteria
Description: bacterial SSU rRNA
Rfam family: Bacterial small subunit ribosomal RNA
Source: RNAcentral